GGCGAACGGGUGAGUAACACGUGGGCAACCUGCCCAAAAGAGGGGGAUAACACUUGGAAACAGGUGCUAAUACCGCAUAACCAUAGUUACCGCAUGGAAACUAUGUAAAAGGUGGCUAUGCUACCGCUUUUGGAUGGGCCCGCGGCGCAAUAUCUAGUUGGUGAGGUAAAGGCUUACCAAGGCAAUGAUGCGUAGCCGAACUGAGAGGUUGAUCGGCCACAUUGGGACUGAAACACGGCCCAAACUCCUACGGGAGGCAGCAGUAGGGAAUCUUCCACAAUGGGCGAAAGCCUGAUGGAGCAACGCCGCGUGGGUGAAGAAGGUCUUCGGAUCGUAAAACCCUGUUGUUAGAGAAGAAAGUGCGUGAGAGUAACUGUUCACGUUUCGACGGUAUCUAACCAGAAAGCCACGGCUAACUACGUGCCAGCAGCCGCGGUAAUACGUAGGUGGCAAGCGUUAUCCGGAUUUAUUGGGCGUAAAGGGAACGCAGGCGGUCUUUUAAGUCUGAUGUGAAAGCCUUCGGCUUAACCGGAGUAGUGCAUUGGAAACUGGGAGACUUGAGUGCAGAAGAGGAGAGUGGAACUCCAUGUGUAGCGGUGAAAUGCGUAGAUAUAUGGAAGAACACCAGUGGCGAAAGCGGCUCUCUGGUCUGUAACUGACGCUGAGGGUUCGAAAGCGUGGGUAGCAACAGGAUUAGAUACCCUGGUAGUCCACGCCGUAAACGAUGAAUGCUAAGUGUUGGAGGGUUUCCGCCCUUCAGUGCUGCAGCUAACGCAAUAAGCAUUCCGCCUGGGGAGUACGACCGCAAGGUUGAAACUCAAAGGAAUUGACGGGGGCCCGCACAAGCGGUGGAGCAUGUGGUUUAAUUCGAAGCAACGCGAAGAACCUUACCAGGUCUUGACAUCUUUUGACAAUCCCAGAGAUAGGACUUUCCCUUCGGGGACAGAAUGACAGGUGGUGCAUGGUGGUCGUCAGCUCGUGUCGUGAGAUGUUGGGUUAAGUCCCGCAACGAGCGCAACCCCUAUUUUUA
RNAcentral lists this ribosomal RNA (1030 nucleotides) under Lactobacillus sp. C4I4. RNAcentral describes it as "bacterial SSU rRNA". It matches the Rfam family "Bacterial small subunit ribosomal RNA", at positions 97 to 1113 of the family's 1533-position model. The record is from RNAcentral. Lineage: Bacteria; Bacillati; Bacillota; Bacilli; Lactobacillales; Lactobacillaceae.